CUCCCAAACCCCUGUGAACAUACCACUUGUUGCCUCGGCGGAUCAGCCCGCUCCCGGUAAAACGGGACGGCCCGCCAGAGGACCCCUAAACUCUGUUUCUAUAUGUAACUUCUGAGUAAAACCAUAAAUAAAUCAAAACUUUCAACAACGGAUCUCUUGGUUCUGGCAUCGAUGAAGAACGCAGCAAAAUGCGAUAAGUAAUGUGAAUUGCAGAAUUCAGUGAAUCAUCGAAUCUUUGAACGCACAUUGCGCCCGCCAGUAUUCUGGCGGGCAUGCCUGUUCGAGCGUCAUUUCAACCCUCAAGCACAGCUUGGUGUUGGGACUCGCGUUAAUUCGCGUUCCUCAAAUUGAUUGGCGGUCACGUCGAGCUUCCAUAGCGUAGUAGUAAAACCCUCGUUACUGGUAAUCGUCGCGGCCACGCCGUUAAACCCCAACUUCUGAAUGUUGACCUCGGAUCAGGUAGGAAUACCCGCUGAAC
Molecule: ribosomal RNA, 478 nt
Filed under: Fusarium sp. RFNG106
Lineage: Eukaryota; Fungi; Ascomycota; Sordariomycetes; Hypocreales; Nectriaceae
Also listed under: 5 other names
Description: eukaryotic LSU rRNA
Rfam family: 5.8S ribosomal RNA (bases 137-290)
Source: RNAcentral